UUUAUAAACACUAUCGUAAUCGUAAAGCUUUGAAAUCGUUAGCGGAACGAUGAAUCAAAUGUUUUUAGAAUCGGUAGUAUUUAAAUUUGUGUAGCGUCUAGAUUACGUUGUUCUCUGUUGUGACAUGUGACAUUUGUUUUGCUACUGAUUGAAGUUUGGACAAAUUUGUGAACUUAUAACAUUUUACAAUACGUUCACGGGAGCAAUGGAAAAACGUAAAAGGGCCCAGCGUAUUACCCAAGAGUAACAUGAGUUGUAUGUGGAGGAGUUAGAAGGUAAUGCAGAUUUUAGGGCCCAAAAGUUCGUAGCGGACAAGCCAGAUCUUUUAGAAAAGAUAUGGGAAGGGUUGGUAGGAAAACUAAAUUCUGUGGGAGGACCACAAAAAAGUGUUCAGCAGUUCAGAGAGGUAUGUGUAAUUAAUGAAUCUCCCGAACACUCUUUUUAAAAAUGUGUACUUUACUAUAAUUUAUCGUACAACUAUUAGCAAUUAUUCUGCUUACAUCAACACUUUGGUUAUGACAAAGUGAACAUCUUGUUUAGUCAUGACCAAUCAAUUAUGAGAACUGAGAUGUUUAAUCUUUAUAAAUACUGUUACACAAUAAACCAUAACCUCUGUGUUUUUUAGUACACCAAGAAUAUAACAUAGGGCACUCUAAUUACAAUGUACUGCCUGGUAAGUAAAUGUCACUGUGUGUUCCAGAGAUUUGUAGAUUGGAAAUUCAAUGUUUGAAAGAAGACCAGAAAUUUAAGACUAUGUGAAAGAGGAACUGUUUAAAAUAAUUUCAUUAUGUUGUAAAAAGAUAAUAAAUACAUUAUUGAAAAUGC
Zophobas morio is the source of this 825-nucleotide long non-coding RNA. RefSeq lists it as uncharacterized. The transcript is spliced from 2 exons. The record is from RefSeq and is a predicted model, not a curated record. NCBI's taxonomy places the organism in Eukaryota, Metazoa, Arthropoda, Insecta, Coleoptera, Tenebrionidae.